CAGUAGCCACGGGAAUACGAAGGGGGCUAGCGUUGUUCGGAAUUACUGGGCGUAAAGCGCACGUAGGCGGCUUUGUAAGUUAGAGGUGAAAGCCUGGAGCUCAACUCCAGAAUUGCCUUUAAGACUGCAUCGCUUGAAUCCGGGAGAGGUGAGUGGAAUUCCGAGUGUAGAGGUGAAAUUCGUAGAUAUUCGGAAGAACACCAGUGGCGAAGGCGGCUCACUGGACUGGUAUUGGCGCUGAGGUGCGAAAGCGUGGGGAGCAAACAGGAUUAGAUACCCCCGUAGUCCCUGUCUCUUAUAC
Molecule: ribosomal RNA, 301 nt
Filed under: uncultured bacterium
Lineage: Bacteria
Description: partial 16S ribosomal RNA
Rfam family: Bacterial small subunit ribosomal RNA
Source: RNAcentral